GCCUUCUGUGGUGUAGUUGGUAGCGCUUUAGUACAGUAAAUAUAUGUCCUAGGUUCAAGCCCCGGUUGGGGUA
This is a non-coding RNA of Halocaridina rubra (Hawaiian volcano shrimp), 73 nucleotides long. The record is from the annotation of a GenBank genome assembly. Lineage: Eukaryota; Metazoa; Arthropoda; Malacostraca; Decapoda; Atyidae.